This 429-nucleotide ribosomal RNA is filed under the name Chloroflexota bacterium. Its description in RNAcentral is "Chloroflexi bacterium partial 16S ribosomal RNA". It matches the Rfam family "Bacterial small subunit ribosomal RNA", at positions 355 to 776 of the family's 1533-position model. The record is from RNAcentral. Lineage: Bacteria; Bacillati; Chloroflexota.
UGGGGAAUAUUGCACAAUGGGCGCAAGCCUGAUGCAGCCAUGCCGCGUGUAUGAAGAAGGCCUUCGGGUUGUAAAGUACUUUCAGUCGGGAGGAAGGUGGUAAGGUUAAUAACCUUAUCAAUUGACGUUACCGACAGAAGAAGCACCGGCUAACUCCGUGCCAGCAGCCGCGGUAAUACGGAGGGUGCAAGCGUUAAUCGGAAUUACUGGGCGUAAAGCGCACGCAGGCGGUUGAUUGAGUCAGAUGUGAAAUCCCCGGGCUUAACCCGGGAAUUGCAUCUGAUACUGGUCAGCUAGAGUCUUGUAGAGGGGGGUAGAAUUCCAUGUGUAGCGGUGAAAUGCGUAGAGAUGUGGAGGAAUAACGGUGGCGAAGGCGGCCCCCUGGACAAAGAAUGACGCUCAGGUGCGAAAGCGUGGGGAGCAAACAGG